Long non-coding RNA from Heteronotia binoei (common prickly gecko), 1044 nucleotides. RefSeq lists it as uncharacterized. NCBI's taxonomy places the organism in Eukaryota, Metazoa, Chordata, Lepidosauria, Squamata, Gekkonidae. The record is from RefSeq and is a predicted model, not a curated record. The transcript has 2 exons.
UUUAGGAUCUUGUUUAUAUCAUUUCAAUAACCUUUGUAAGCACUGUUUAGUUUUUCCUGCCCAUGACCAACUGUAAUGAAUGAGACCUGCGUCAGUAGGCCUUGGUUGUUCCAGGCUUUUCUAAUGUAUCAUGGCCCUCUCAUCAUGAUGCCAAGUGAUUUUGGUAUUUUCCCAACUGUCUUUAGAUAUGACUUGGAGAAGUAUGCCUAUGACUCCAAGAAGGAUAAACAGCCUCAGGGCCAUCUUUAGAAUUUACAUUUGCUCCAUACUACAUUCACUCUAGACUUCCAUUGGCAGAGUCUCUGAGACCUGCUGGAAGAGUGCAACUUAUCCGCAUUGUGUGUGGGGGGUAGGGAAACAUGGUUAUUGUAUCUGUACAAUUGUUUAUUUAAAUAUAUAGAGUUUUGGCAUUGCUCCUUCUUGAAUGCUGAGGCUGGAAUGCCCCAUGGACAGGUGAGGGAAGCCAGCAGGCUGACUUGGAUUUUGCUAGUUCAGAGGAGGGGCAGAAGGUGUGGAUAACUUUGAAAGCUGUUGUAAAUUUGCCUUAUUGAACUUAAUGUGCAUGUCCUUUUCAUGAACACACUGAUGCCAAAGUGAUCUUCAUUCUUUACCUUUGUAUGCUGAAAUUUGGAAGUGGAAGUCAUGGCUCAGGCUUUGACCCAUUCUUAAUGCAUGGAGUUCUUGGUAUUCUUUAGCACUGAAAAAGGAAAGAGGAGGGCAGUUUUUAAUUUUUUAAUUUUGUGAUUCUAAUACUUACCUGUAUUUGCAUCACCUUCAUAAGCUUAUCUCUGCACCCCAGAAGGCCUAGAACCUUUGUCGUGUAAGCUGGGCUUCUCAGGAUGUUAAUGUAGUGAUGUGGGCCUUUGAGAAGGGUACGUGCAGGCCCCUGUGGCUCUCCCCAGUCUUCUCUGGCAAGGCUUGCUUAAUGCUGCCUAUCAGUUGCUAAUGCCCAAGACAGAUAGGGGAUUUCAGAGGUCUGCUUUUGCAUGAGAAUUUUAAUGUUUUCAUUUUUGUAAGUUUGAAAUUAAAUUCCUUUAAACAUAA